UACGUAGGCAGCGAGCGUUGUUCGGAGUUACUGGGCGUAAAGAGUGCGUAGGCGGUUUUCUAAGUUUGGUGUGAAAUCUCCCGGCUCAACUGGGAGGGUGCGCCGAAGACUGGAAGGCUUGAGUAUGGGAGAGGUAAGCGGAAUUCCUGGUGUAGCGGUGAAAUGCGUAGAUAUCGGGUGGAACACCGUGUGGCGAAGGCGGCCAUCGUGGACGUUCACUGACGCUGAGACGCGAAAGCGUGGGUAGCAAACGAGGAAUUGAUGAUAC
This 268-nucleotide ribosomal RNA is filed under the name uncultured bacterium. RNAcentral's name for it is "partial 16S ribosomal RNA". It matches the Rfam family "Bacterial small subunit ribosomal RNA", at positions 524 to 786 of the family's 1533-position model. The record is from RNAcentral.